CCCUGGGGAGUACGGCCGCAAGACAGAACCCAAUGAAUUGACCGGGGACCCGCCCAAUCGGUGGAGCAUUUGGUUUAAUUCCAAGCCAAACCCACAGAACCUUACCAGGGCCUUGGACAUCCAAUGAGCUUCCUAGUAAAUUAAUGGGUGCCUUCGGGAACAUGGAAGACAGGUGCUGCAUGGCCUGUCGUCAGCUCUUGUUCUUGAAAUGUUGGGUUAAGUUCCGUAACAAGCCCAACCCUUGUCCUUAGUUACCAGCACUUAAUGGUGGGAACUCUAAGGAAACUGCCGGUAACAACCCGGAGGAAGGUGGGGAUGACUUCAAUUCAUCUUGCCCUUACGGCCUGGGCUACACUCUUCCUACAUUGGUCGGUACAAUGGUUGCCAAGCCGCAAGGUGAACCUAUUCCCUCAAAACCGAUCGUAUUGCGGAUCGCAGUCUGCACCUCGACUGCUUGAAUUCGGAUUCGCUAUUAUUCCUAUUCAAGAUGUC
This 492-nucleotide ribosomal RNA is filed under the name Marinobacterium stanieri. RNAcentral describes it as "bacterial SSU rRNA". It matches the Rfam family "Bacterial small subunit ribosomal RNA", at positions 871 to 1358 of the family's 1533-position model. Lineage: Bacteria; Pseudomonadati; Pseudomonadota; Gammaproteobacteria; Oceanospirillales; Oceanospirillaceae. The record is from RNAcentral.